This 253-nucleotide ribosomal RNA is filed under the name uncultured bacterium. RNAcentral's name for it is "partial 16S ribosomal RNA". It matches the Rfam family "Bacterial small subunit ribosomal RNA", at positions 524 to 776 of the family's 1533-position model. The record is from RNAcentral.
UACGUAGGGUGCGAGCGUUAAUCGGAAUUACUGGGCGUAAAGCGUGCGCAGGCGGUUUUGUAAGCCAGAUGUGAAAUCCCCGGGCUUAACCUGGGAAUGGCAUUUGGGACUGCAAGGCUUGAGUGCGGCAGAGGAGACUGGAAUUCCCGGUGUAGCAGUGAGAUGCGUAGAUAUCGGGAGGAAUACCGAUGGCGAAGGCAGGUCUCUGGGCUGACACUGACGCUCAUGCACGAAAGCGUGGGGAGCAAACAGG